CUGCCCCCGCCCCGCUGGGUCGCUGGGUCGCUGCGUCGCCCCGGCGCGGGGAGAAUAAUCCGUGCGGAGCGGCGGUGCCCCGAGAUGUUCUGUAACUAUUUCCCAGUUGCUCCAUGGCCAUCCCGGUGCGUUGCUGGUCCUAGGGAGGGAAUAAGGGAACGGCGUGGAAGAGCAGCUCCACACCAAGGACAGGUCUCGGCUGCACAGGUUCAGGAGCAGGAGUGAUUUCCCUGAAACAUCGGGAGCAUUUUAUGACCCUGAAAGGAGCCAGUUUUGGAGGACAGCUAAGUAUGCCAAGCAGUGACUCAUGACUACAGGCUGGGAAAACAGCCUCACCUUGGCACUGGAGUACACUGAGACACCUUGGGAGGUCCAGGGGACACAUGGACUUCACUAAAUGUUUUUCUCCUACUGUACUGUUUGAGCCAGGGUGGCAUUAGGGGUGUUGUCACAUCAUAGUGGGCAUGGGGCUCUCUGGUCAGGUCCUGAUUUACCUUACCAUCAGAGGAAAGGACAAAGGAGGUCUCCUGUACCAAAUUGUUUCCACUCUCCUUUCAAGUGACAUCUGUUCAGUGAAGCAUUGUCAUACCAAUCAAUAGGUAUUGGUUUUGUAUAGCAUAUGAUCAUAUCCACUUAAACCUUUGGGGCAAGGAUUAAUCAGGUGACCUUCCCCUUGCUGUAUAUUCCGUGUAUGUGUAGUGUAUACUGAACCCAGUCAGUUUGUUAAAAGCAGUGAAAUUUAUCAUGGUAACACUGAAACCACAAAGGAGGUUGACGUCCACUUCAGUUAAUCAUAAAAUAAUAAUAACCUGAAGCAUCUUUUAUUAAGGUUUAUGCAUUUUGUUCCCUGCUUUUAAACAAGCUAUAGAUUUGUACUCUGUCUCUUGCCUCCCUCAGCACCAAUGGCAAAAAUUACACCACUUUCUAGAAAUAUAAGCACCUUCACUCACUAUUGAAGCCAGAAAGAAUUACAACUAGAAAUACAGAAUUUCUAUUCAUCCAAAAAGAUGAAUGCUCCUUACACUUCAAAAUUCAGUUUAGUAAAUUGAACAAAAAGAAAGGUUAUUUGACUCCCGGUGGUGAGUUGACUGAUAUAUCUUUGAUGCCAAAUCUCCAGUUUGGCACUAAAAAAGGAUCAAUCCCUAUACCUGUACUUUUCUCCUUCUUUAGUCUGUUAAAACAGCUGAUCUAUUUUUUACUAUUUCCAUUCAAACAGUUAAUGCAGAUAUUAUCAUUGCCCAUUGGAAAUUGUGAUGCCAAUGCAUGUAUAACUACCACUGAAGAGUAGCAAAAUGAUUUCUCUUUAACAAACCAGCUUUGUGAAUAUAUUUUUCCAGUUAAUCUGAUUUCAAACACUGUCAAUAUGCAAGUUUCUUGCUUUACCGUAUCAGUAUGAUCAAAAGCGUAAAAAUCUUAUCAGUGCUGGUACUCAUAUAAAUUAGAUUAGUGGUAAAGUUUGUUUACAUGUCCAUAGAGAAACAUGCCAUAACUGGAGAAUUAAGUUUUGUUUAUUUAGUUCAGUGUUUCACUGGAAAAGCUGUCUUGAUGAAGAAAAUAAUGCUUCUAACUCAGAGGCGUAUUUCCCCAGUAAAAUCUGUGCACACUGGCUGAGGGUCUAACCCUGAGGUAGAUGAGCAAACUUCUGGCUAACCUGAAGGACUCCAAAGGACUUGAGCACGUUAUUUUCACAAACAGCAGCUAAUAAAAGCCUCCAAUGGCUGCCUUGUGUGUUUCCAUGCCUUUUUAUUUGAAC
Long non-coding RNA from Catharus ustulatus (Swainson's thrush), 1753 nucleotides. RefSeq lists it as uncharacterized. The record is from RefSeq and is a predicted model, not a curated record. Lineage: Eukaryota; Metazoa; Chordata; Aves; Passeriformes; Turdidae. The transcript is spliced from 3 exons.